CUCGUAGUAGGAUUUCUGUUGUAUUAUUUAUAAUAUUACUAAGGUAAUAUUAUAAUAACAACAUCCUUCCUAUUAUAUUUUUAAUAUAUAGGAAAUUUUACUUUGAGAAAAUUAGAGUGCU
RNAcentral lists this ribosomal RNA (121 nucleotides) under Cryptosporidium sp. Pantherophis/659209. RNAcentral describes it as "partial 18S ribosomal RNA". The record is from RNAcentral. Lineage: Eukaryota; Apicomplexa; Conoidasida; Eucoccidiorida; Cryptosporidiidae.